RNAcentral lists this long non-coding RNA (341 nucleotides) under Helianthus annuus (common sunflower). Its description in RNAcentral is "hypothetical non coding rna". The record is from RNAcentral. Lineage: Eukaryota; Viridiplantae; Streptophyta; Magnoliopsida; Asterales; Asteraceae.
UUUGAAUUACAAUUCAAAGGGCAAAUCAUCUGUUGUAGGGGGGAUUGUUGGCCCUUGUAAUCAAACCUAGAAGAACAGAUAAUAUUGAAAGCCAAAACUGGUUCUGUACAGUUGAUCAUCAAUAAGUGAUGUCAAUGCGUGUCCUAAGUUCCCUCCAAUGGCAGUGCUUCUAUCAAUUGAUGACUCCAAGUACUGAUCUCUCAACAACUGAUCUUUAAAGAACUGCAGAUUAUAAAGACUAAAGACUUAACAGCUGUUGUUUGUCAAAAUACUGAUGAAGUCUAAGUACUGAUGAUUCAAGGCCUGAUCAACCAUUGAAGAAAGCACUGAUCUGCAACAUC